Molecule: long non-coding RNA, 301 nt
Organism: Cyprinus carpio carpio
Lineage: Eukaryota; Metazoa; Chordata; Actinopteri; Cypriniformes; Cyprinidae
Source: Ensembl
AUUGGCGGCGGGCUGCAGUUCCGGCGCUGACCAGCGGGGGUCACAGUUCGUCCCGAGGCGCGUUUAAAGGCAAAUGUUUGACCUCCUCAGGGACCUCCUCGCCUUACUGUGACCUUUUAUAGAAACCCAGAGAAUCCAACAAACUGCUGAUCUCAUCUGCCUUCAUCUUCUUCACAGGAACAACCUGAGAAUACAGAAAGUCCGAACAGCUUUGGAACAACAUGAGGAAAGAGCCCAAUGUGCUGCACCCUCAAGUCUCUAUGAUGUUCUGAUCUCUAGAUAGCACAUGAGUCAACCCUUC